Non-coding RNA from Ictidomys tridecemlineatus (thirteen-lined ground squirrel), 522 nucleotides. The record is from RefSeq and is a predicted model, not a curated record. Lineage: Eukaryota; Metazoa; Chordata; Mammalia; Rodentia; Sciuridae.
UCACAUGCACAAGAAGCAGUCACUCUCUUGUGCUGUCUUCUCAUAGGAAGCCAUAUCCUAAUUUGACUAUCACUUUUCAUAAGAUAUAGAGACACUUGAGGUAACCAGGAGAAGAGUGACAUGAAUGAACAGACAAGACGCCUGAUGGGAACGAGGUCCCUUGGGGAAAGCGUCAAGAAUCAGAGCGGUUGGACCUAAAGAGGAAAACUGGAAGGUGCUGCCUGGCUUUCUACCUGGACCGCAUCUCCUGCCCCCACCAGCCCACCCAGCCCCUCCUAGGCAGCAUCCACACCCACGGCCAGCUCCGCCACAGCAGAAGCUCCAGUUCAGAGAACCAGAGGUCGAACCCUAAGAAAUGCUGUUAAAUCAACAAUUUAAAGAGGAAAUUCGUAAUGCCAAGAACAAAGCCGAGGAAACAGGUGUCUAAUUUGGUAAUGUGGACCGAGAUGCCAUGGGUCCUGCUCCCUGCUUUCCAUUUUCAUCCCCGUAACAUGGUCCUUAUAGUAAAAUCUACAGAGCUCA